GACGAACGCUGGCGGCGUGCCUAAUACAUGCAAGUAGAACGCUGAAGCUUGGUGCUUGCACCGAGCGGAUGAGUUGCGAACGGGUGAGUAACGCGUAGGUAACCUGCCUGGUAGCGGGGGAUAACUAUUGGAAACGAUAGCUAAUACCGCAUAAGAGUAGAUGUUGCAUGACAUUUGCUUAAAAGGUGCAAUUGCAUCACUACCAGAUGGACCCGCGUUGUAUUAGCUAGUUGGUGAGGUAACGGCUCACCAAGGCAACGAUACAUAGCCGACCUGAGAGGGUGAUCGGCCACACUGGGACUGAGACACGGCCCAGACUCCUACGGGAGGCAGCAGUAGGGAAUCUUCGGCAAUGGACGGAAGUCUGACCGAGCAACGCCGCGUGAGUGAAGAAGGUUUUCGGAUCGUAAAGCUCGGUUGUAAGAGAAGAACGAGUGUGAGAGUGGAAAGUUCACACUGUGACGGUAUCUUACCAGAAAGGGACGGCUAACUACGUG
This 497-nucleotide ribosomal RNA is filed under the name uncultured bacterium. Its description in RNAcentral is "partial 16S ribosomal RNA". It matches the Rfam family "Bacterial small subunit ribosomal RNA", at positions 28 to 507 of the family's 1533-position model. The record is from RNAcentral.